UACGUAGGGGGCAAGCGUUGUCCGGAUUUAUUGGGCGUAAAGAGCUCGUAGGCGGUUUGGUAAGUCUGGUGUGAAAUCUCCACGCUCAACGUGGAGGGGCCACCCGAUACUGCCAUGACUGGAGUCCGGUAGAGGAGUGUGGAAUUCCCGGUGUAGCGGUGAAAUGCGCAGAUAUCGGGAGGAACACCCGUGGCGAAGGCGGCUCUCUGGUACGUGACUGACGCUGAGACGCGAAAGCGUGGGGAGCGAACAGG
RNAcentral lists this ribosomal RNA (254 nucleotides) under uncultured bacterium. RNAcentral's name for it is "partial 16S ribosomal RNA". It matches the Rfam family "Bacterial small subunit ribosomal RNA", at positions 524 to 776 of the family's 1533-position model. The record is from RNAcentral.